Molecule: ribosomal RNA, 372 nt
Filed under: uncultured bacterium
Lineage: Bacteria
Description: bacterial SSU rRNA
Rfam family: Bacterial small subunit ribosomal RNA
Source: RNAcentral
AUACGUAGGGGGCAAGCGUUGUCCGGAAUUAUUGGGCGUAAAGGGUACGCAGGCGGCCUUUUAAGUCAGAUGUGAAAUCUUACGGCUCAACCGUAAUAAGCAUUUGAAACUGAAAGGCUUGAGUUAAGGAGAGGAAAGUGGAAUUCCUAGUGUAGCGGUGAAAUGCGUAGAUAUUAGGAGGAAUACCAGUGGCGAAGGCGACUUUCUGGACUUAUACUGACGCUGAGGUACGAAAGCGUGGGGAGCGAACAGGAUUAGAUACCCUGGUAGUCCACGCCGUAAACGAUGAGUGCUAGGUGUCGGGGGUCAAACCUCGGUGCCGGAGCUAACGCAUUAAGCACUCCGCCUGGGGAGUACGUACGCAAGUAUGAA